RNAcentral lists this ribosomal RNA (423 nucleotides) under uncultured Mucinivorans sp. RNAcentral's name for it is "bacterial SSU rRNA". It matches the Rfam family "Bacterial small subunit ribosomal RNA", at positions 355 to 774 of the family's 1533-position model. The record is from RNAcentral. Lineage: Bacteria; Pseudomonadati; Bacteroidota; Bacteroidia; Bacteroidales; Rikenellaceae.
UGAGGAAUAUUGGUCAAUGGGCGCAAGCCUGAACCAGCCAUGCCGCGUGCAGGAUGACGGCUCUAUGAGUUGUAAACUGCUUUUAUACUAGGGUAAAGUCAUCUACGAGUAGAUGUUUGAAAGUAUAGUAUGAAUAAGGAUCGGCUAACUCCGUGCCAGCAGCCGCGGUAAUACGGAGGAUCCAAGCGUUGAUCCGGAUUUAUUGGGUUUAAAGGGUGCGUAGGCGGUUUUUUAAGUUAGUCGUUAAAUCGCGAGGCUCAACCUCGCAAUGGCGAUUGAUACUGGGAAACUAGAGAUUAUCUGCAGCGGGCGGAAUGUGUAGUGUAGCGGUGAAAUGCUUAGAUAUUACACAGAACACCAAUUGCGAAGGCAGCUCGCUAAGAUAUAUCUGACGCUGAUGCACGAAAGCGUGGGGAUCAAACA